This 253-nucleotide ribosomal RNA is filed under the name uncultured prokaryote. Its description in RNAcentral is "partial 16S ribosomal RNA". It matches the Rfam family "Bacterial small subunit ribosomal RNA", at positions 525 to 777 of the family's 1533-position model. The record is from RNAcentral.
ACGUAGGGGGCAAGCGUUGUCCGGAAUUAUUGGGCGUAAAGGGCGCGCAGGCGGUCCUCUAAGUCUGAUGUGAAAGCCCACGGCUCAACCGUGGAAGGUCAUUGGAAACUGGGGGACUUGAGUGCAGGAGAGGAGAGUGGAAUUCCACGUGUAGCGGUGAAAUGCGUAGAGAUGUGGAGGAACACCAGUGGCGAAGGCGGCUCUCUGGCCUGUAACUGACGCUGAGGCGCGAAAGCGUGGGUAGCGAACAGGA